This 1837-nucleotide long non-coding RNA is filed under the name Panax ginseng (ginseng). RNAcentral's name for it is "long non-coding RNA (PGIN_LNC017585)". The record is from RNAcentral. Lineage: Eukaryota; Viridiplantae; Streptophyta; Magnoliopsida; Apiales; Araliaceae.
GGCUUCCAUUAUAAACAAACAAGAAUUGCAUUCAUUCACAAAUCAUGAAAAACCAGAAUUACAUAGUAUCUACAUAAAAUACCAAAAUGCUCAUUCAUCGCAAAUCAUGACAAAAACAAACCCAAUAUUCUUAAACAUAAAACAGAAGACAUUAAGAGUGGCAAAGGCAAUUAGAAGCCUUUGGAAUUACAUUCAUAGUAUACAUAUUACAAUCUCUUCAGGAACUAUAAUCUUAAUAAAACAUCUCAUUACAACAAUAAAUAAAAUAUUCAAACGAUAACUUGAUGAAAACUAGGUGGGGGCAUCUUAGAAUUCUUCAUGUCCGCAAGUGACUUGAUGAAUGAUAGGCGCAAGUUAAUAUCUGGCUGAGUUGCAAAUAAUUCUCUUGCAUCUUUGCUCAUGAAAAUUGCGCAGGAAGAAUUCCAAAAUGGAGUAUUUGGAAUCUCACUAAAUAACUUGAUGUAUGCAGUUGGAGUAGGCACGAAUGACUCUUGUACAGGAUAUGUCAUUGUGGUUGCACUUCUGUUUAACAUGUUAGUUAACAUUGUAUCAUUGAUUGGAUAGAUGCUCCCGAGUUAUUACCUUUUUCUUUUUUUUUACAUUACUGAGAUUCUCUUUGAUUGGCUAUUUGAUGGCCCAAAAAACACCUCACGGACACAACUACCCUCACCACCGUUAUCUCCCAUCCCUAGAUUAUCACUAUCCCCACUACCCUCGCCACCAAUACCUCCACCAUAUUCAUCCCAAUUUGCAGAUCCUUGACUUGAGCCUUCGUCAAUGUGUUUAUCUCCCCUCACCCUACCCCUUGCCCCUUCCGAUCCCCUUAUUCCUUCACUUUCCAUCUAAUUCAUAAACACCAAACAAUAAUAUAACAUGAGACAUAACUCACACUACCAACAUCCAUAGUACAACAUUAACAACCAUUAACAAACAAAAACUAUGAUAAAGAACUAACAUUUACUUUUUAGAUUGACCUCUUAUAAUCCUAGAUCUGAUAUUUAGAAAUAGUUUUAUAAAAAAUUCACAUAGCUCAUACAUAAUGUGUCAGUUAAAUCGAAUUUGAACAAGUAAAAUCUUAAUCAACCAUGCAAACAAAUGACAGUCAAAACAUUAAAUUUUGUCACAUACUAAACUUUUGAACACACGAAUCUUGCUUCAAACAGAGUUACUGAAAAUUACUAAAAAUUAAGCUGCUCACAUAUUCCUAAUUAAGCACAAAAACAUUAGAACCACAUAAAUUAACAGCAAAUGAAACCAUUUGAAUCGAAACCCACACGCUAUGAAACUACAGUCAAAAUUAAAGAAGUAAAGAAGAAGAAAAACCACAUACCAAAGAUUCAAACAUAACAUAACACAUAUAUACAUAUCAAAUAUUUGGUCUAGGGUUUGGUACCUGACAGCAAUCGAAGGAGUAGUAGCAGGAGUAACAGCCGCGGAGCGAAGGAGGGAGAAGCCAAGAAAUUGACGGAUCGAGCGCAGAGAGAGCAGAGCAGAAGCUUUUUUUUAGGUUAAGAGGAAAAGAGAUGUAAUUAGCAAGAUAGGAGAUAGAAGAGGAGUAACACUUUAAUAGUGGCAAAUGACCAACUUAUAAGUCAGUACUGAACAUGCCCUUAAUCAUAAAGAAAAAUCACGGUCCUGAAACAAGUAACAGGAUUAAUUUUAUUUAGCAAAAAAAUUAGCCUUGGGAGAGAACAGGAAAAGAUACGCAAGUUAGGGAUAAGCAAACUGAAAGUAGAGCUGGUUUAUAAACAGAACAAAAGGCACAACAUAAAGUUUUAUAAUAAUUCUGGGGCGACCGGUUUUUACAGACAUUUUCAGCGACCGGGUGACGUGGCUU